CCUACGGGAGGCUGCAGUGAGGAAUAUUGGUCAAUGGACGAGAGUCUGAACCAGCCAAGUAGCGUGAAGGAUGACUGCCCUAUGGGUUGUAAACUUCUUUUAUAAAGGAAUAAAACGAGGCACGUGUGCCUUUGUGCAUGUACUUUAUGAAUAAGGAUCGGCUAACUCCGUGCCAGCAGACGCGGUAAUACGGAGGAACCGAGCGUUAUCCGGAUGUAUUGGGUUUAAAGGGAGCGUAGAUGGGUUGUUAAGUCAGUUGUGAAAGUUUGCGGCUCAACCGUAAAAUUGCAAUUGAUACUGGCAGUCUUGAGUACAGGUGAGGUAGGCGGAAUUCGUGGUGUAGCGGUGAAAUGCUUAGAUAUCACGAAGAACCCCGAUUGCGAAGGCAGCUUACUAAACUGUGACUGACAUUGAUGCUCGAAAGUGUGGGUAUCAAACAGGAUUAGAUACCCGGGUAGUC
Molecule: ribosomal RNA, 460 nt
Filed under: uncultured bacterium
Lineage: Bacteria
Description: partial 16S ribosomal RNA
Rfam family: Bacterial small subunit ribosomal RNA
Source: RNAcentral